RNAcentral lists this ribosomal RNA (449 nucleotides) under uncultured bacterium. RNAcentral describes it as "partial 16S ribosomal RNA". It matches the Rfam family "Bacterial small subunit ribosomal RNA", at positions 29 to 523 of the family's 1533-position model. The record is from RNAcentral.
AACGAACGCUGGCGGCAUGCUUAACACAUGCAAGUCGAACGAGACCUUCGGGUCUAGUGGCGCACGGGUGCGUAACGCGUGGGAAUCUGCCCUUAGGUACGGAAUAACUCAGAGAAAUUUGUGCUAAUACCGUAUGAUGUCGAAAGACCAAAGAUUUAUCGCCUAAGGAUGAGCCCGCGUAAGAUUAGCUUGUUGGUGAGGUAAAAGCUCACCAAGGCGACGAUCUUUAGCUGGUCUGAGAGGAUGAUCAGCCACACUGGGACAGAGACACGGCCCAGACUCCUACGGGAGGCAGCAGUGGGGAAUAUUGGACAAUGGGCGAAAGCCUGAUCCAGCGAUGCCGCGUGAGUGAUGAAGGCCUUAGGGUUGUAAAGCUCUUUUACCAGGGAUGAUAAUGACAGUACCUGGAGAAUAAGCUCCGGCUAACUCCGUGCCAGCCGCCGCCGUAA